This is a long non-coding RNA of Cebus imitator (Panamanian white-faced capuchin), 230 nucleotides long. RefSeq lists it as uncharacterized. NCBI's taxonomy places the organism in Eukaryota, Metazoa, Chordata, Mammalia, Primates, Cebidae. The record is from RefSeq and is a predicted model, not a curated record. The transcript is spliced from 2 exons.
AGAAGUCCGCGUCUGGGCCUGAGCAAUAACUUCAUGGCCCAGCCGGACCCCAACCGAGCAGAUCAGGCGGCGCCUCCUCCUCAGUGUCCUACAGUCGCUCACAGACCAAAGUUCCUUCUCUGGGAAGUUGUCUGCAAAUUGGCCAUAAAACCCUGUUCCCUGAUACCUUCUUCUUUCCUUCCUAGAGGUUGAAUAUUCAUGCUAUUUUAUGAAAACUUCAAAAGACUGAG